GACAGAGGGUGCAAACGUUGUUCGGAAUUACUGGGCGUAAAGCGCGUGUAGGCGGCUAUGUAAGUCGGGCGUGAAAUCCCUCGGCUUAACCGAGGAACUGCCUGUCGGACUGCAUGGCUUGAGACCGGGAGAGGUGAGUGGAAUUCCCAGUGUAGCGGUGAAAUGCGCAGAUAUCAGGAGGAACACCAAUGGCGAAGGCAGCACUCUGGGACGUGACUGACGCUGAGACGCGAAAGCGUGGGGAGCAAACAGG
RNAcentral lists this ribosomal RNA (253 nucleotides) under uncultured bacterium. Its description in RNAcentral is "partial 16S ribosomal RNA". It matches the Rfam family "Bacterial small subunit ribosomal RNA", at positions 524 to 776 of the family's 1533-position model. The record is from RNAcentral.